AGCAGCCGCCGCGGGAAUACGUAGGUGGCAAGCGUUGUCCGGAGUUAUUGGGCGUAAAGGGCUCGCAGGCGGUUUCUUAAGUCUGAUGUGAAAGCCCCCGGCUCAACCGGGGAGGGUCAUUGGAAACUGGGAAACUUGAGUGCAGAAGAGGAGAGUGGAAUUCCACGUGUAGCGGUGAAAUGCGUAGAGAUGUGGAGGAACACCAGUGGCGAAGGCGACUCUCUGGUCUGUAACUGACGCUGAGGAGCGAAAGCGUGGGGAGCGAACAGGAUUAGAUACCCCCGUAGUCCCUGUCUCUUAUAA
This 303-nucleotide ribosomal RNA is filed under the name uncultured bacterium. RNAcentral describes it as "partial 16S ribosomal RNA". It matches the Rfam family "Bacterial small subunit ribosomal RNA", at positions 507 to 809 of the family's 1533-position model. The record is from RNAcentral.